GCGCGCGGUCGAUGAGCACCUGAUUGAUGGCCUGCUGCGCCAUCGCGCGGCCGUAGGGCACCUUGGCGGCGUCGAUCACCUCGACGCCCGGCGCG
Molecule: transfer RNA, 95 nt
Filed under: Tsukamurella sp. PLM1
Lineage: Bacteria; Bacillati; Actinomycetota; Actinomycetes; Mycobacteriales; Tsukamurellaceae
Description: tRNA-Ser
Source: RNAcentral